Long non-coding RNA from Hemicordylus capensis (graceful crag lizard), 1009 nucleotides. RefSeq lists it as uncharacterized. The transcript is spliced from 3 exons. NCBI's taxonomy places the organism in Eukaryota, Metazoa, Chordata, Lepidosauria, Squamata, Cordylidae. The record is from RefSeq and is a predicted model, not a curated record.
GCUGAAGAGGACAGGAGUCCAAAGAGAAAGAGCAACCAGAAAAGGGGUCCAGGAGAAAGGAAACUUGAGACAUGGGCACCUACUGGGACAUAUAGAAGGGAAAGGAGGGUUCACACUCACCUGGCCCUUAGAGUUCUAGAUUCCUUAACCCAAGAUACCAGCAGUCUGUGCAGCAGAGACAGGAAGUGGCAGCAGAGAAAGGAUGGAAGUACCAACAUAAACAGAGACUCUGAGACAAAGACUGGUGUAUAUAUACAGUUUUGUUGUGCAAGUUGUGACCAGUGGCUGCAAAGCAUGGAAGCAAUUCUUUUAGAAGGUUCCCACUGUGUGUGCAUGCAAGCAUUCAGAAGAAGGCGGGGGUCUCCUUCCAGAUGCAGCUAGAGAAGCCCACUGGAGGAUGUGAGAGUGGUCAAGGCACAAGAUGGUGAGUAUGUGUGUGCAUGUGUUUAGAAGGAGGCAGAGGUGAGUGAGGUCAAGAAACGUAAGGGUAAUUAAGGUACAAGCUGAUGAAUAUGGUCAUGCAUGUUCAGAAGGAUGUAGAGGUAGCCUUUGAGAUGCUGCUUGAGAGGCCUACCAGAAGAUAUGAGAAGGGUUGAGGCGCAAGCUGGUGAGUAUGCAUGCACAUGUUCAGAAGAAGGCAGAGGUCACCUUUAAGAUGCUUCUUGAGAGGCUCACCGGAGGACGUGAGAGGAGUUGAGGUACAAGCUGGUGAGUAUUCUUGUGCACAUUCAGAAGGAGGUGGAGGUUGCCUUGGAGAUGAUGCUUGAGAGGCCCACCAAAGGAUGUAAGAGGGGUCACAAAGCUGCAUCUGCUGAAUUUCUGCCUGGAUGAAACACACACCCCCCGAGCCCAAUGUCCAGCUGAAAGAUCAAGGCAAAGAGGGCUGCAUGGAGCCUCAUUUCUAAAGCCUCCAUAAUAUAUGAGACUGCACAAAGUCUUUAGAGCUUAUAUGGCAUGGAAGUUAAGAUAGGCACCUUAACUGGCAAUUUCCGUGCUUUUUAUAGCCUGA